AAGCCUACUCCUUCUAAAUCUCCCUUUUCUUGCAUGAAUCAAAGGUCUCCACCUAACUCAAUGCUUAUUUUUUUGCAUGUCUAAGACAAGGUUGAAACUCCUUCCUACCAAUAGAUGAUAUUGUCGUAUGGCAUGAUUUGCUAUUUGGGAAUACACUGCAUAUCUAGCUGUAGAGAGUUUAGCUUAAACCUUCAUAUGAAUCUUGUCUUAGCUUCCAAAACUCCUUUAUUUUGCAUAAAACUCAAAAUAUAACAAAAUCCCUUCAAAACUUAUUUUUCCCUCAAAAGGUUUUCUCUUUCAAAACUUUAGAAAUUCAUAACUCUUGAUCUAGCCGUUCAGUUUAUCUAAAAUUUAUAGGAUAGGUAGAAUUUACCAUUAAGUUUUAUCACAAAAAAAAACAACCACAAAUUCACUUCCGAUCUUUUGGCAUCUAAGAAACCC
This 441-nucleotide long non-coding RNA is filed under the name Physcomitrium patens. RNAcentral's name for it is "long non-coding RNA (PPAT_LNC000334)". The record is from RNAcentral. Lineage: Eukaryota; Viridiplantae; Streptophyta; Bryopsida; Funariales; Funariaceae.